CGGCUCCCAUACCGGCAGCCGCCCGCGGGGGAAAAAAAAGUGAGCCCGGCAUCGAGGGGAAGAAGCACCGGCGCCGAGGGGUAUUUCUGAAAGAGGAAGCUUAAUUAAUAUCCUGUAACUAAGACUGACCUCGAUCGUCGGAGGCUUAGUAGAGACCUGACAAGAUGUCACACAGGGCAUGCAUCAGUGGCAACUGGAGGAGCAGCCUGUUGUCUCCAGGACCACUGAGCAGCAUUUGGCUCCAUAUGGCUGUUUUUCAAGCUUGAUGGUGUGGACACGUGGCACACGAGGGCAGACAGAUGGUGCUGAACGUGUUUGGCAUUUUUUGCCAGCAAGCACUGGAGAAAAGCUGAACCCUUGGUUAAAUGGCAUGUUGACAAAUAUGUGAGUGCUGGUUUCAUGAAGGAUGCAGACAUUCUGACGCAAAGAUCUUCAAGCUCUGAGUCAACUUGGGAUCAUUCUCCUCUAUGAUGUCCGAUUACUACUUCUCCUGUAUUUAGCAGGAGAAAAAAAAAGGAAAAAAACCAAACACCUGUGCAGCAGAAGGAAGUGCCUUAAUGGAGCAUGAGGAAGUAGUAGAGCAAUCUGGACAGUGGAAUUAGUAGUGAUUACGGAAACAAAUGGUAUCAAUUAAAGCAGUAUGUCUGCCUUCAUUAAUUCCAAUGCACUAUCAAUAUGCUAACUAUCAAAUAUUUUAUCCUGAGGAAUGACCCUGAUAGAUCAUAAAGCCUUUGUCUCCGGCAUUACAUCUCUAUGCAAAGCCCUGCAGCUCAAGAGA
This is a long non-coding RNA of Lagopus muta (rock ptarmigan), 778 nucleotides long. RefSeq lists it as uncharacterized. Lineage: Eukaryota; Metazoa; Chordata; Aves; Galliformes; Phasianidae. The record is from RefSeq and is a predicted model, not a curated record. The transcript is spliced from 3 exons.